CCCUGGCCAGGGACAGACACCGCCCCCCGGCCAAUGGGAGCGCACCCGCCUCCCGGGCCUGGCCAAUGAGAGGAGGGGGUGGGUGGAGACAAGCGCCGGGAAAAACAAACAGGCUUCUCAAGGACCCUUCGGGCAGGGAGCCCCCGAGCCCCCGUCCACACCCCUCCCACGGUCUCACCUCCUUGGACACGUCUCGCCCCGACUUCACAGGGGAGACCCUCGCCCGCCUUGACCGCGCCUCGCCCUCAGGAACGGUUCAGCCAAUCGCCACCGCGAGGGGGCGGGGUUAGCCACGUCCCCGGCAGGUUCUGGGAUCCGUGGGGCCUGGGCCAGAUCCUGGGUGCGAGGUGCUUGUGCGCAUGCGGACUCCGAGAGCAGAUGGUGGCUGCACCUGCCCACGCACCAGCUGCAGCACAUUCUCCAACGCUCUCAGCAGCAAAGGGAGAGAGGGCAGGGGGCGGGGGGAGGCUAAGUGUAGGGAGCGGCGCACCUGCCUGCCUGCAGCAUCACUCACCAGAGUUCAUAUUUUACCUUACGUUGCCAAGAUGCCCUGUCCAGCAGUGAGGAACCCUAUAAUUCCCAAUCUCUGUGUCACUUUCAAGUGAGGAUUAAAGAUAGGCAUGAGUUUUCUACACACUCCCUUUUCACAUCUUUACAAUCUUUGCUCCUACGUGUUCCAGAUAAGGAAGAGGGCUGCUGAUCUCUACAUAAGACUUUCCCGAAGCAGCUAUGUCAGAGGUUUCCAAGACUAUCACCAGAUUCAGUGAUUUGCUAGAACCCACAGGGCUCAGAAGUUCUUGUACACAUAAUUAUGGCUUAUUACAGCAAAUGGACAAAAAGCAAAGUGAUUUUUUAUAAAGCAAAAUGAUUAAAGGAAAAUAGUACAUGGGGCAAAGUCUGAAGGAAUCCAGAUGUAAGCUCCCGAAAGUUCUCCCUCAGUAGAGGACAUGGUUAAUUUCCCUAGCAACAAGAUGAGGAAACCUGUUUGAAGUAUUGUCUACCAGUGAGGUCACCUGAGCCUACAACACCAAGGCUUUUAUUGGUGGUCCACCACGUAGGUAUAUAGCCAUUGCCUACAAGACCAGUUUCUGAGGCUCCAGAAACCCAGGAGAACAGGUGUUCACCAUAAAUCACAACGUUUGCACAUAUUCUCUAGAAAGACUGGUAUAACACCUCAGGGACACAGGCAUACAAAACAUUUAUAUUGUUUAGAAUCCAAAUAUUUUUUAACAACUUUGUUGAGCCAUAUCUCACAUACCACACUAUUCACCCAUUUAAAAUGUACAAUUCAUUGGUCUUUUCCUAUUCAGAGAUAUGUACAACCAUCUCCACGAUUUUAGAACAUUUUCAUUACUGGAACUGUGAUUUACAGUUCUGCACAUAGGAAGCUGAGAAGUCAACUCUCUGUCCUAACAACAAGUAAACAAGCUGAAUAGACUUAAAAAUCAACUCUUCUCAGAUCUUUAAGAGGGGGAAGACACAGGAAAAAUCACUGAUCCCAAGAUUGGAUAUAUAGAAAGGUGAAUGAAUAACAGGAGGGAGUCAUAGCUUACCUGGAGCAGACACUCACAAGCGGAAACACCUGUAGGAACCAGGCCUGAGAUGAAAAUUUGAACUGUACUUGUACUUGAAAACUUGAAUUUCUGGAGUCUCAGAGCAAGCAACUCUGGGGAUUAAAAACUCCAAGGGGAUCUAGUCAUAGAAGAAACUCCCACAAUACUGUUAGACUCACUUCUAGGAGCUCCAUCAGAUUCCCACAAUAAAUACUAUUAAAAAAAUUCCCUGGGGCUUACA
Molecule: long non-coding RNA, 1794 nt
Organism: Vulpes vulpes (red fox)
Lineage: Eukaryota; Metazoa; Chordata; Mammalia; Carnivora; Canidae
Source: Ensembl